UGAACACGGCUUAAAAGAG
This 19-nucleotide non-coding RNA is filed under the name Mus musculus (house mouse). The record is from RNAcentral. Lineage: Eukaryota; Metazoa; Chordata; Mammalia; Rodentia; Muridae.